This 467-nucleotide ribosomal RNA is filed under the name uncultured bacterium. RNAcentral describes it as "partial 16S ribosomal RNA". It matches the Rfam family "Bacterial small subunit ribosomal RNA", at positions 29 to 507 of the family's 1533-position model. The record is from RNAcentral.
ACGAACGCUCGCGGCGUGCUUAACACAUGCAAGUCGAACGGAAAGGCCCUGCUUUUGUGGGGUGCUCGAGUGGCGAACGGGUGAGUAACACGUGAGUAACCUGCCCUUGACUUUGGGAUAACUUCAGGAAACUGGGGCUAAUACCGGAUAGGAGCUCCUGCUGCAUGGUGGGGGUUGGAAAGUUUCGGCGGUUGGGGAUGGACUCGCGGCUUAUCAGCUUGUUGGUGGGGUAGUGGCUUACCAAGGCUUUGACGGGUAGCCGGCCUGAGAGGGUGACCGGCCACAUUGGGACUGAGAUACGGCCCAGACUCCUACGGGAGGCAGCAGUGGGGAAUAUUGCACAAUGGGCGGAAGCCUGAUGCAGCAACGCCGCGUGCGGGAUGACGGCCUUCGGGUUGUAAACCGCUUUCGCCUGUGACGAAGCGUGAGUGACGGUAAUGGGUAAAGAAGCACCGGCUAACUACGUG